This 440-nucleotide ribosomal RNA is filed under the name Bacillus amyloliquefaciens. RNAcentral describes it as "bacterial SSU rRNA". It matches the Rfam family "Bacterial small subunit ribosomal RNA", at positions 555 to 993 of the family's 1533-position model. The record is from RNAcentral. Lineage: Bacteria; Bacillati; Bacillota; Bacilli; Caryophanales; Bacillaceae.
UGGGCGUAAAGGGCUCGCAGGCGGUUUCUUAAGUCUGAUGUGAAAGCCCCCGGCCCUUCCGGGGAGGGUCAUUGGAAACUGGGGAACUUGAGUGCCCAUUAGGAGAGUGGAAUUCCACGUGUAGCGGUGAAAUGCGUAGAGAUGUGGAGGAACACCAGUGGCGAAGGCGACUCUCCGGUCUGUAACUGACGCUGAAGAGCGAAAGCGUGGGGAGCGAACAGGAUUAGAUACCCUGGUAGUCCACGCCGUAAACGAUGAGUGCUAAGUGUUAGGGGGUUUCCGCCCCUUAGUGCUGCAGCUAACGCAUUAAGCACUCCGCCUGGGGAGUACGGUCGCAAGACUGAAACUCAAAGGAAUUGACGGGGGCCCGCACAAGCGGUGGAGCAUGUGGUUUAUUUCUAAGCAACGCUAAGAACCUUACCAGGUCUUGACAUCCUCUG